RNAcentral lists this long non-coding RNA (1795 nucleotides) under Homo sapiens (human). RNAcentral's name for it is "HSALNT0076063". The record is from RNAcentral. Lineage: Eukaryota; Metazoa; Chordata; Mammalia; Primates; Hominidae.
CGAGUCUGUUAAGGAUGGAAUAUUGGGGCCUUCCCCAUUCAAAUGCUAAAUCCCUAACCCCCAGUGUGGCUGUAUUUGGAGAUAGGGCUUCUAAGGCAAUAAUUAUGGUUAAAUGAGGUCAUAAGGGUGUGGCCCUGAUCUAACAGGAUUAGUGUCCUUAUAAGAGUGUGCUCUCUCUCCCUCUCCCUUUCCCUGUCCCACUUCCUCCUCCAUCUCCCUCUCUGCCUUUCUUCCUCUCUCUCCCUCUCUCCAUCACCAGAGCACACAGCAAGAAGCCAGACAUCUGUAAGCCAGGAAGACAGGCCUCCUCAGAGACCCCACAGGACCUAGAUCUGGACGACUUCCAGCCUCCAGAACUAAAUUAAGAGCUGAUGGAGUCCACCAAAUCCAGAGCCUCCCCCAAAGAAGAAGAAAUGGGACCCAGGAAGGAGGAAGGAGAAACAAAAGGAAUUCACAGGAUGAUGCUGAGGGGAAGCUUCAGGAAAGCAAUUUCUAAGGCCAGAGACCACCAGUCCAGAGGGAGAACUGAGAACUCCCGCAGGAUGCCACCAAGAAAACAAACAAAAAGAAUCCUACAGUAAUCAGCCCUUCACAUUUUAGCUGGGCAUAUGGCUGCCUAGCUAAAGACUACGUUUCCCAGCCUCCCUGAAGCUGGAUGCGGACACGGGACUAAUUUUGGCCAACGGAUUGUGGACAGACAUUGACAUAUAGGACUUCUGGUUUGUGCACUGAAAAGUAAAGAGCAGGUUUCCCACUGCUUCUUUCAGAGUCCCCACAGAUUGGAAAAUAAAAACAGUCAUCUUAGACAAUAAAACGAAAGCCUCAGAUCAAAUACAGAAGACAUUAGGAUCCUGGGUUCCUGAUACUGUCAAGCUUCCAGGCCACCCCUGAUCAUUUACCCAGACUUACAAGAGGGGAUAUAAACUUCUAUCUUGAUUGUCAUUGUAUUUUUAGACUAUCCGUUACCUCAGAAAAAUCUGUAUCCUAUCUAAUAAAGUUUCACCUAACACUUUCCUGAAAUAUAAUUCAGGGGCUCUUGACAACAUACUAAAUUUGCCAGACACCUUUUUUCCAAAGAGUCCAAUUCCCUUUCCAUAAUUUUACAUCACUUUUCUUCACAGUGUCUCUGAUGUAAUUUAAUAACAAUGCUUUAAGAUUGACCUAACCCCCAGAUUCCAUGACCCCAGUGUUCACGUCAGGCUGCUUUCUGCCCUGGAAAACAACAUCUGGUUCUGUUUCAUACUCCUGGGCAAGCUAAAUUCCCAGUUUUCAGGGACCAAGAACAAGAUUAUUUUAACUCAUUUUUCAGAAAAAAAAAUCUUUUUCAUUCAUAGUCCUUGCAAUUCACCAAAAACACACUUAAUAUAUAAGAUUAAUAGACAGCAACUUACGGCUUUUCUCUAACGUUAUCUUAUGGCAUAAAACAGUUAAUAUCCUUCUACUGUACACACCUUACCCAUAAUAAAUAGCUUUCUCAUAUACUAAAGACAGGUUCAGAUAUUUAUAAAGUACUUUUAUCUAUUCAGAGAGAAAAACACUAUAAAACAUAAACAUUCUGUGGCUCUCAGGUUUCCCCAGCACCCUAUCUUCUCUCUCCAUAAAAAUGGGAUAAUUAUAACUGCCACAAACUAUUGCGUGCUGAUGUUAUGAAAAUAAAUGAAAUAACCAAUAUAUGAAAGCAUUUUGUGCUCUUAGGAAGAAUAAAUCCACCUUAAAUCCAAGAAGGUAUAAUUCUUUAUAAUGUUUUCCAGGGAUUUGCUGAACAGCCCUAGAGAGGUCAUUACCCACAACAAAC